Long non-coding RNA from Chinchilla lanigera (long-tailed chinchilla), 198 nucleotides. RefSeq lists it as uncharacterized. The record is from RefSeq and is a predicted model, not a curated record. The transcript is spliced from 3 exons. Lineage: Eukaryota; Metazoa; Chordata; Mammalia; Rodentia; Chinchillidae.
UUUGCUAUAGCAAGGAAUAUGGACAUUGUCUUUUGUGUUUGGCAGGGAUGCGAUGGUAUUCAAGGAAGUUGGAAAAGUGUAGUAGAAAAAUGGAAGGCUUUGAGGACACCUUGAUACAGUGGGGACACACUUCUUCCGUCAGUAACAGUGCACCUACUUCAUGUAUAUUUCAAAUACGCCUGGCGUGGUGGCGCAUGU